Molecule: ribosomal RNA, 552 nt
Filed under: Dunckerocampus dactyliophorus (ringed pipefish)
Lineage: Eukaryota; Metazoa; Chordata; Actinopteri; Syngnathiformes; Syngnathidae
Description: partial 16S ribosomal RNA
Rfam family: Bacterial large subunit ribosomal RNA
Source: RNAcentral
CGCCUCUUGCACAACAUAGUAUAAGAGGUCCCGCCUGCCCUGUGACCACAAGUUUAACGGCCGCGGUAUUUUGACCGUGCAAAGGUAGCGCAAUCACUUGUCUUUUAAAUGAAGACCUGUAUGAAUGGCACAACGAGGGCUUAACUGUCUCCUUCCCUUAGUCAAUGAAACUGAUCUGCCCGUGCAGAAGCGGACAUGAAGACAUAAGACGAGAAGACCCUAUGGAGCUUUUAGACGCACAAGAGGACCGAGUUAAGAACCUACUUCACCAGAACAAACUAAACGGAGCCCGCUUGAAUGUCUUUGGUUGGGGCGACCGCGGGGAAACACACAACCCCCACGUAAGAGAAGACAACACCUUUAUAACCAAGAACAGCAGUUCAAAGUAUCAAAACAUUUGACCUUAAGAUCCGGCAAAGCCGAUCAACGAACCAAGUUACCCUAGGGAUAACAGCGCAAUCCCCUUUUAGAGUCCAUAUCAACAAGGGGGUUUACGACCUCGAUGUUGGAUCAGGACAUCCUAAUGGUGCAGCCGCUAUUAAGGGUUCGUUU